CGGGCCGCGGGGGGAGCCCAGCCCCAGGGGAGCCCCUCCGGGGAGCCCCCGUCCUUCAGCAGCCCCCGGCGGAGCAGGGCCUCGCGGAUCCGGAGGGCGGCCGCAGGGAAGGGGUCGGAUGCAGGACGCGGCUGCGGGACGCGCACGCGGCCGCUCGGCUCUGCGAAGCCCCCCGACACGCUCCUCGCGGUGACUGGUGGGGUGACACGAUGAGCCCGGCUCAUUCCCCGCUGCCGCGAUGAGCCGGGUGCCCGGGUGACGCGUCCCUGGGGGCUGGGGACGUGCUUCAGGUGCACCCCCAGCGCCCGCGUUCCCGCUUUUCCAGCGUACAGGCGCGCCGCAAAGCCGUGGCUGCCGGGGGUUAUCGGGGAAGUGGAAUCGCUGAAGCUAUUUGAUGAAUGGAAGUGGUUAGUGUGUGGCGAUAACUGGGCUGAAAAAGGUCGAACCUCGGGCCUGCUCGCAAGGGCACAGGUCUUGCUGCCCUAGGGUCUGUAUGUUUUAAGAAACGAGAAACAGCAGAGACUUCUUUAAAACCUUGUUUUGUUUGUUUUUUGCUCCAUGUAGAUCUGCAGGUCCAGACCUUGGCGCUAGCCUCCCCCUCCAGCUCGAUCCUCCUUCCCUGCUUUCUCARCCUUCCUUUAUCCUCUCGGCCAACCCUUGCAUCACCAGCGCCGGGACCAGCACGAGCUACAGCAUGGUCCCRUCUCCGCCCUCCUGCCCCAAGGCGUUGAUCCCCGUUCCCCCCGGCGCUGUCAGCUCCACGACGAGCGUCGCGUCUGCCAGAGAAGACCAGACGCCCUCUACCUCCACCAGUCGCUCUUCGGCGUUCGCUGCCUUCCAUGUGAGAAGCGCGCCCGCUCCCUCAAAGCAGACCGGCCAAAGGCUCCUUGUUCCUGAGGUCUCCGACAGCGCCGUUCCCGGAGGGGCGGUGGGACGGAGCAGCAGUACUGCUAGCAGUAUCGGCAUCGGCCUCGCCCUCUUUGGCGUAGGGCUCGUUGACAAAGCGUUGUUUCAGAGUUUAAUGGAAGAGAAUAGUUGCUGUUUGCUUUACAUCGUGGAAAAUCAGCUGCAGGAGGUGGAACGUGCCUUCAGCGCGGAAUUUUUGGCCAAUACCAGGGUGCUGCGGCAACAGGAUGCUGACGUUGUGCUCAGUGAUCAACGGGUCUCUGGAGCCAUUAUUUCUUCACCACCUGGAGAAGCUUCUGAGAUUGUAAUAGAUGCUUUACGAGCUGGGAAAGGUGUAUUUUGCGAGAGGCUACCCAGUUUAGACAGGCAGACAGCAGAAGCUUGUUUUGAUGAAGCUGACAGAUGUGGAAGACCAUUGGUUUGUGGAUUCUACAAGCGUUUUGACCCAGCGCUGCAGUUCUUGUAUAAAAAAGUCCGUGACAGCCAGGCAUUGGGGAGGAUUCACCGGAUAUCGGCRACCAGCAGCAUAUAUCCAGCGGCUUCUCUUAGCUUCCUAAAAAAGUCAGGUGGAAUUUUUUAUAAUGCUGCUGUGCAUGAUAUAGAUAUUAUCAGUUUGUUGUUGGGAGAGAGUGCACCAGAUACAGUAUUUUCACUGGGACAUGCAUUCUGUGCAGAUAUGGCCUACUUGAAGGAUGCAGACACUGUAGCGGUCAGCAUGAAAUUCCCUAGCGGAGCAAUUGUCACUUUGGACGUCAGUCAGCACUGCACUAAAAGCUGUGAUCAGAGACUAGAGGUUCAUGGUUCUCAAGGAACGUUACGGGUAGAUAAUCAGAAUCCCUUGGGAAUUACAGAGCAUGGAACUUCUGUAUCCAUCUAUUCACAGACCCACGCCGAUCGUUUCAGAGACGCGCACAGAGAGCUCUUUCGACACUUUCUUAGAACCCUGAAAGGCAAAGAACCUCCCGCGAUAACCAAAGAACAGUUUCUCUGGGCGAUUCAGGUAGCUGCAGCUGCUGAGCAGUCCUGGAGAAAUGGAUCUGCUGUUGACUUGCGCAAUGAAGCAAUAGAUUCGUCUGUAAUCAAGACUGAAAUAAUGUGACACGCACUGCCGGGUUUUGAG
This is a long non-coding RNA of Apteryx haastii (Great spotted kiwi), 2026 nucleotides long. NCBI's taxonomy places the organism in Eukaryota, Metazoa, Chordata, Aves, Apterygiformes, Apterygidae. The record is from Ensembl.